This 220-nucleotide ribosomal RNA is filed under the name Bacteroides caecigallinarum. RNAcentral's name for it is "partial 23S ribosomal RNA". It matches the Rfam family "Bacterial large subunit ribosomal RNA", at positions 2121 to 2351 of the family's 2925-position model. Lineage: Bacteria; Pseudomonadati; Bacteroidota; Bacteroidia; Bacteroidales; Bacteroidaceae. The record is from RNAcentral.
AUUUGGGCACGCGAUGUGUAGGAUAGGUCGGAGGCAAUGAAUCGGGCACGCCAGUGUUCGUGGAGCCGCUGUUGAAAUACGACCCUUCGUUUGUUUGAGUUCUAACUUCGAAUUGAAGGACAUUGCUUGGUGGGUAGUUUGACUGGGGUGGUCGCCUCCAAAAGCGUAACGGAGGCUUCUAAAGGUACCCUCAGGCCGAUCGGUAACCGGCCCAAGAGUG